AGAUUGAACGCUGGCGGCAGGCCUAACACAUGCAAGUCGAGCGGUAGAGAGGUGCUUGCACCUCUUGAGAGCGGCGGACGGGUGAGUAAUGCCUAGGAAUCUGCCUAGUGGUGGGGGAUAACGUUCGGAAACGGACGCUAAUACCGCAUACGUCCUACGGGAGAAAGCGGGGGACCUUCGGGCCUCGCGCCAUUAGAUGAGCCUAGGUCGGAUUAGCUAGUUGGUGAGGUAAUGGCUCACCAAGGCGACGAUCCGUAACUGGUCUGAGAGGAUGAUCAGUCACACUGGAACUGAGACACGGUCCAGACUCCUACGGGAGCAGCAGUGGGGAAUAUU
Molecule: ribosomal RNA, 336 nt
Filed under: uncultured soil bacterium
Lineage: Bacteria
Description: bacterial SSU rRNA
Rfam family: Bacterial small subunit ribosomal RNA
Source: RNAcentral